CCUACGGGGGGCUGCAGUGGGGAAUAUUGGACAAUGGGGGGAACCCUGAUCCAGCCAUGCCGCGGGUGUGAAGAAGGCCCCCGGGUUGUAAAGCACUUUCAGGGAGGAAGAACGCCUGGUGGUUAAUACCCAUCAGGAAAGACAUCCCUCACAGAGAAAGCACGGCCUAACUCCGUGCCAGCAGCCGCGGUAAUACGGAGGGGGCGAGCGUUAAUCGGAAUUACUGGGCGUAAAGCGCGCGUAGGUGGCUUGAUAAGCCGGUGUGUGAAAGCCCCGGGCUCAACCUGGGAACGGCAUCCGGAACUGUCAAGCUAGAGUGCAGGAGAGGAAGGUAGAAUUCCCGGUGUAGCGGUGAAAUGCGUAGAGAUCGGGAGGAAUACCAGUGGCGAAGGCGGCCUUCUGGACUGACACUGACACUGAGGUGCGAAAGCGUGGGUAGCAAACAGGAUUAGAUACCCUAGUAGUC
RNAcentral lists this ribosomal RNA (466 nucleotides) under Vreelandella stevensii. RNAcentral describes it as "partial 16S ribosomal RNA". It matches the Rfam family "Bacterial small subunit ribosomal RNA", at positions 338 to 795 of the family's 1533-position model. Lineage: Bacteria; Pseudomonadati; Pseudomonadota; Gammaproteobacteria; Oceanospirillales; Halomonadaceae. The record is from RNAcentral.